Long non-coding RNA from Mytilus californianus (California mussel), 508 nucleotides. RefSeq lists it as uncharacterized. The record is from RefSeq and is a predicted model, not a curated record. The transcript has 3 exons. NCBI's taxonomy places the organism in Eukaryota, Metazoa, Mollusca, Bivalvia, Mytilida, Mytilidae.
AUCACGGGUUUGUGUAAAAGAAUUCUCCUAAAAUGUCCAUGUACAACGGUGUCUUUUACCGCUGUCUUUGUCUGAUUUGUCAAACUUCCGGCCAAAUUACUGAAAAUACAGAUUUGAGAGACCCUUACAUUCUGUGUGAGAAUAAAGAAAGUCCAAAUCUUGAAUGUCCUCCAACAACAAUCAUCAAGAUUGAAGAUGCCUUUUAUGGUAGAAAAAAUCAAAGUGUAUGUAAAGAUCCAAGAAUAAGUUCUACCUCGUGUAAUGUCACAGUAACCGACAUUGUAGAGAGCAACUGUAGUUUCUUACAAACAUGCUUACCAAAAGCUUCGAAUAAGAUCUACGGUGAUCCUUGCCAGAAUACAUACAAAUAUCUACAUGUUACUUACAGGUGUAUCAAAGAAGCUCAACCAUCAUUGAAAUCCUCGACACACCUACCCACUCAGUUCUUUACAGCAUCGCCAAGUUCAUCAUCAAAAACUGAACAACAAGUGUCAUUUUCUAUAACAGG